This 1241-nucleotide ribosomal RNA is filed under the name Candidatus Phytoplasma mali. Its description in RNAcentral is "bacterial SSU rRNA". It matches the Rfam family "Bacterial small subunit ribosomal RNA", at positions 153 to 1399 of the family's 1533-position model. The record is from RNAcentral. Lineage: Bacteria; Bacillati; Mycoplasmatota; Mollicutes; Acholeplasmatales; Acholeplasmataceae.
GAAACGACUGCUAAGACUGGAUAGGAAGUUUUAAGGCAUCUUGAAACUUUUAAAAGACCCGCAAGGGUAUGCUGAGAGAUGGGCUUGCGGCACAUUAGUUAGUUGGUAAGGUAACGGCUUACCAAGACCAUGAUGUGUAGCUGGACUGAGAGGUUGAACGGCCACAUUGGGACUGAGAUACGGCCCAAACUCCUACGGGAGGCAGCAGUAAGGAAUUUUCGGCAAUGGAGGAAACUCUGACCGAGCAACGCCGCGUGAACGAUGAAAUAUUUAGGUAUGUAAAGUUCUUUUAUUAAAGAAGAAGAAAUGAUGGAAAAAUCAUUCUGACGGUAUUUAAUGAAUAAGCCCCGGCUAACUAUGUGCCAGCAGCUGCGGUAAUACAUGGGGGGCAAGCGUUAUCCGGAUUUAUUGGGCGUAAAGGGUGUGUAGGCGGUUUAAUAAGUCUAUGGUAUAAGUUCAACGCUUAACGUUGUGAUGCUAUGGAAACUGUUUGACUAGAGUUGGAUAGAGGCAAGUGGAAUUCCAUGUGUAGCGGUAAAAUGCGUAAAUAUAUGGAGGAACACCAGUAGCGAAGGCGGCUUGCUGGGUCUUAACUGACGCUGAGGCACGAAAGCGUGGGGAGCAAACAGGAUUAGAUACCCUGGUAGUCCACGCCGUAAACGAUGAGUACUAAGUGUUGGGUUAAACCAGUGCUGAAGUUAACACAUUAAGUACUCCGCCUGAGUAGUACGUACGCAAGUAUGAAACUUAAAGGAAUUGACGGGACUCCGCACAAACGGUGGAUCAUGUUGUUCAAUUCGAAGAUACACGAAAAACCUUACCAGGUCUUGACAUACUCUGCAAAGCUAUAGAAAUAUAGUGGAGGUUAUCAGGGAUACAGGUGGUGCAUGGUUGUCGUCAGCUCGUGUCGUGAGAUGUUGGGUUAAGUCCCGCAACGAGCGCGACCCUUAUCGCUAGUUACCAUCAUUUAGUUGGGCACUUUAGUGAGACUGCCAAUGAUGAAUUGGAGGAAGGUGGGGAUUACGUCAAAUCAUCAUGCCCCUUAUGACCUGGGCUACAAACGUGCUACAAUGGCUGUUACAAAGAGUAGCAGAAGCGUGAGUUUUUAGCAAAUCUCAAAAAAACAGUCUCAGUUCGGAUUGAAGUCUGCAACUCGACUUCAUGAAGUCGGAAUCGCUAGUAAUCGCGAAUCAGCAUGUCGUGGUGAAUACGUUCUCGGGGUUUGUACACACCGCCCGUCA